GAGUUUGAUCCUGGCUCAGGAUGAACGCUAGCGGCAGGCUUAACACAUGCAAGUCGAGGGGUAACGGGGAAGCUUGCCUCCGCCGACGACCGGCGCACGGGUGCGUAACGCGUAUACAAUCUACCUUAUACUGGGGUAUAGCCUUUAGAAAUGAAGAUUAACCCCCCAUAGUCUCUUAGAGUGGCAUCACUUCUAGAGUAAAGGUUACGGUAUAAGAUGAGUAUGCGUUCUAUUAGUUUGUUGGUGUGGUAACGGCACACCAAGACUACGAUAGAUAGGGGCCCUGAGAGGGGGAUCCCCCACACUGGUACUGAGACACGGACCAGACUCCUACGGGAGGCAGCAGUGAGGAAUAUUGGACAAUGGAGGCAACUCUGAUCCAGCCAUGCCGCGUGCAGGAAGACUGCCCUAUGGGUUGUAAACUGCUUUUAUACAGGAAGAAACACCUCUACGUGUAGAGGCUUGACGGUACUGUAAGAAUAAGGAUCGGCUAACUCCGUGCCAGCAGCCGCGGUAAUACGGAGGAUCCAAGCGUUAUCCGGAAUCAUUGGGUUUAAAGGGUCCGUAGGUGGAUAAUUAAGUCAGAGGUGAAAUCUUGCAGCUCAACUGUAAAAUUGCCUUUGAAACUGGUUAUCUUGAGUUAUUAUGAAGUAGUUAGAAUAUGUAGUGUAGCGGUGAAAUGCAUAGAUAUUACAUAGAGUACCAAUUGCGAAGGCAGAUUACUAAUAAUCAACUGACACUGAUGGACGAAAGCGUGGGUAGCGAACAGGAUUAGAUACCCUGGUAGUCCACGCCGUAAACGAUGGUUACUAGCUGUUUGGACUUCGGUCUGAGUGGCUAAGCGAAAGUGAUAAGUAACCCACCUGGGGAGUACGUUCGCAAGAAUGAAACUCAAAGGAAUGACGGGGGCCCGCACAAGCGGUGGAGCAUGUGGUUUAAUUCGAUGAUACGCGAGGAACCUUACCAGGGCUUAAAUGUAAGUUGCAUUAGUUAGAGAUAGCUAUUUCUUCGGACCACUUACAAGGUGCUGCAUGGUUGUCGUCAGCUCGUGCCGUGAGGUGUCAGGUUAAGUCCUAUAACGAGCGCAACCCCUGUUGUUAGUUGCCAGCGAGUCAUGUCGGGAACUCUAGCAAGACUGCCAGUGCAAACUGUGAGGAAGGUGGGGAUGACGUCAAAUCAUCACGGCCCUUACGUCCUGGGCUACACACGUGCUACAAUGGUAGGUACAGAGAGCAGCCACUGCGCGAGCAGGAGCGAAUCUAUAAAACCUAUCACAGUUCGGAUCGGAGUCUGCAACUCGACUCCGUGAAGCUGGAAUCGCUAGUAAUCGGAUAUCAGCCAUGAUCCGGUGAAUACGUUCCCGGGCCUUGUACACACCGCCCGUCAAGCCAUGGAAGUUGGAAGUGCCUGAAGUCCGUCACCGUAAGGAGCGGCCUAGGGUAAAGUCGAUAACUAGGGCUAAGUCGUAACAAGGUAACC
This 1479-nucleotide ribosomal RNA is filed under the name uncultured marine bacterium. Its description in RNAcentral is "bacterial SSU rRNA". It matches the Rfam family "Bacterial small subunit ribosomal RNA". The record is from RNAcentral.